Molecule: ribosomal RNA, 467 nt
Filed under: uncultured bacterium
Lineage: Bacteria
Description: partial 16S ribosomal RNA
Rfam family: Bacterial small subunit ribosomal RNA
Source: RNAcentral
GAUGAACGCUGGCGGCGUACUUAACACAUGCAAGUCGAACGGAAAGGCCCAAGCUUGCUUGGGUACUCGAGUGGCGAACGGGUGAGUAACACGUGGGUGAUCUGCCCCGCACUUCGGGAUAAGCCUGGGAAACUGGGUCUAAUACCGGAUAGGACAGUGGUUUGGAUGCCAUUGUGGAAAGUUUUUUCGGUGUGGGAUGAGCUCGCGGCCUAUCAGCUUGUUGGUGGGGUAAUGGCCUACCAAGGCGUCGACGGGUAGCCGGCCUGAGAGGGUGUACGGCCACAUUGGGACUGAGAUACGGCCCAGACUCCUACGGGAGGCAGCAGUGGGGAAUAUUGCACAAUGGGCGCAAGCCUGAUGCAGCGACGCCGCGUGGGGGAUGACGGCCUUCGGGUUGUAAACUCCUUUCGCUAGGGACGAAGCGUUAUGUGACGGUACCUAGAGAAGAAGCACCGGCUAACUACGUG